AUUUGCCUUGGGUGUUUGUGAUGCAUUUUUUCCUUAGAGCCAACACCUAACGAUGGGGGGCCAGUAUUAGGUAGCCUUGAAGUGCUUGAAAAAGCACCUAAGGCUAUUCUCGAGGUACCCACUUAUCAUUGCUAGGUUCUAGGAAAAAUCCGCACACGGCACCUUAGGCUUUAA
Molecule: non-coding RNA, 174 nt
Filed under: Desulfurella amilsii
Lineage: Bacteria; Pseudomonadati; Campylobacterota; Desulfurellia; Desulfurellales; Desulfurellaceae
Description: 6S / SsrS RNA
Rfam family: 6S / SsrS RNA
About the family: E. coli 6S RNA was the first non coding RNA to be sequenced, but its function was unknown until recently. It consists of 184 nucleotides that fold into an extended hairpin structure with a large single-stranded internal bulge. The 6S RNA specifically associates with RNA polymerase holoenzyme containing the sigma70 specificity factor.
Source: Rfam by way of RNAcentral